GCCAGGCACAGUGGCAUGUGCCUGUAGUCCCAGCUCUUUGGGAGGCUGAGGCUGGAGGAUCACUUGAGUCCAGGGGUUCUGGGUUGUAGUGCGCUAUGCCGAUCGGGUGUCUGCACUAAGUUCAACAUCAAUAUGGUGACCUCCCAGGAGCAGGGUACCACCAGGUUGCCUAAGAAGGGGUGAACUAGCCCAGGUCGGAAAUGGAGCAGGUCAAAACUCCUGUGCUGAUCAGUAGUGGGAUCGUGCCUGUGAAUAGCCACUGCACUCCAGCCUGGACAACAUCGGGAGACCCCUUUUCU
RNAcentral lists this signal recognition particle RNA (299 nucleotides) under Saimiri boliviensis boliviensis (Bolivian squirrel monkey). RNAcentral describes it as "Metazoan signal recognition particle RNA (ENSSBOG00000002468.1)". It matches the Rfam family "Metazoan signal recognition particle RNA". From Rfam's summary of the family: The signal recognition particle (SRP) is a universally conserved ribonucleoprotein. It is involved in the co-translational targeting of proteins to membranes. Lineage: Eukaryota; Metazoa; Chordata; Mammalia; Primates; Cebidae. The record is from RNAcentral.